Molecule: transfer RNA, 61 nt
Filed under: Scuticaria tigrina (spotted snake moray)
Lineage: Eukaryota; Metazoa; Chordata; Actinopteri; Anguilliformes; Muraenidae
Description: tRNA-Ser
Rfam family: tRNA
About the family: Transfer RNA (tRNA) molecules are approximately 80 nucleotides in length. Their secondary structure includes four short double-helical elements and three loops (D, anti-codon, and T loops).
Source: RNAcentral
CAGAUUGGCUAUGUGUUCGGCUUGAAACCGUCUUACGGGGGUUCGACUCCCUCCUUUCUUG